RNAcentral lists this ribosomal RNA (505 nucleotides) under uncultured bacterium. RNAcentral's name for it is "partial 16S ribosomal RNA". It matches the Rfam family "Bacterial small subunit ribosomal RNA", at positions 28 to 507 of the family's 1533-position model. The record is from RNAcentral.
GACGAACGCUGGCGGCGUGCCUAAUACAUGCAAGUAGAACGCACGGUUUAUACCGUAGCUUGCUACACCAUAGACUGUGAGUUGCGAACGGGUGAGUAACGCGUAGGUAACCUGACUGGUAGCGGGGGGUAACUAUUGGAAACGAUAGCUAAUACCGCAUAAUAUUGAUUAUUGAAUGAUAAUUAAUUGAAAUGUGCAAUUGCACCACUACCAGAUGGACCUGCGUUGUAUUAGCUAGUAGGUGAGGUAACGGCUCACCUAGGGGACGAUACAUAACCGACCUGAGAGGGUGAUCCGCCACACUGGGACCUGGACACGGCCCAGACUCCCACGGGAGGGAGCAGGAGGGAAUCUUCGGCAAUGGACGAAAGUCUGACCGAGCAACGCCGGGGUAGUGAAGAAGGGUUUCGGAUCGUAAAGCUCUGUUGUAAGGGGAGAACGGGUGUGAGAGUGGAAAGUUCACACUGUGACGGUAUCUGACCAGAAAGGGACGGCUAACUACGUG